UGUGGGGAAAGGAAAAUAACUUUUUGUCAUUCUUUUUAAAUUUUGUUUCUCGUACCCUAUUUUUUUGGAAGAAUACCUUUAUAAAGGGAACUUGUGAUAUCAAUUCACCAGUUACAUAAUUGAUCCACUCUUUUUCAAAGUAGUGAUAACUAAUGACGCUAAAUCAGGAUAGAAUAUUUUCAAAUCAAUUGAAGAUAUUCUUGAU
Molecule: long non-coding RNA, 205 nt
Filed under: Capsicum annuum
Lineage: Eukaryota; Viridiplantae; Streptophyta; Magnoliopsida; Solanales; Solanaceae
Description: long non-coding RNA (CANN_LNC004612)
Source: RNAcentral